RNAcentral lists this ribosomal RNA (368 nucleotides) under uncultured bacterium. RNAcentral's name for it is "bacterial SSU rRNA". It matches the Rfam family "Bacterial small subunit ribosomal RNA", at positions 278 to 643 of the family's 1533-position model. The record is from RNAcentral.
GAUGGAUAGGGGUUCUGAGAGGAAGGUCCCCCACAUUGGUACUGAGACACGGACCAAACUCCUACGGGAGGCAGCAGUGAGGAAUAUUGGUCAAUGGCCGAGAGGCUGAACCAGCCAAGUCGCGUGAAGGAAGAAGGAUCUAUGGUUUGUAAACUUCUUUUAUAGGGGAAUAAAGUGGAGGACGUGUCCUUUUUUGUAUGUACCCUAUGAAUAAGCAUCGGCUAACUCCGUGCCAGCAGCCGCGGUAAUACGGAGGAUGCGAGCGUUAUCCGGAUUUAUUGGGUUUAAAGGGUGCGUAGGUGGUGAUUUAAGUCAGCGGUGAAAGUUUGUGGCUCAACCAUAAAAUUGCCGUUGAAACUGGGUUACUU